RNAcentral lists this microRNA precursor (56 nucleotides) under Heligmosomoides polygyrus. RNAcentral's name for it is "microRNA hpo-mir-10098b precursor". The record is from miRBase by way of RNAcentral. Lineage: Eukaryota; Metazoa; Nematoda; Chromadorea; Rhabditida; Heligmosomidae.
CGUAUCCACGAUCCAUUGCUGACUUUUAGGAACAGCCAUGGCUCAGGAGCGCUAGA